GUAGUCAGUGAUGAUUCCAUUUUACAGUUUGCCUGAUUUCGUCAUAGAACAUGAAGGCAACCUUUAAGUCACUACCUCUUCUGAGACAC
This is a small nucleolar RNA of Heteronotia binoei (common prickly gecko), 89 nucleotides long. RefSeq annotates it as small nucleolar RNA SNORD11. Lineage: Eukaryota; Metazoa; Chordata; Lepidosauria; Squamata; Gekkonidae. The record is from RefSeq and is a predicted model, not a curated record. The transcript has a single exon.